This 511-nucleotide ribosomal RNA is filed under the name uncultured bacterium. RNAcentral describes it as "bacterial SSU rRNA". It matches the Rfam family "Bacterial small subunit ribosomal RNA", at positions 29 to 533 of the family's 1533-position model. The record is from RNAcentral.
AUUGAACGCUGGCGGCGUGCCUAACACAUGCAAGUCGAGCGGUAACAGGUGUAGCAAUACAUGCUGACGAGCGGCGGACGGGUGAGUAACGCUUGGGAAUCUGCCUAUUAGUGGGGGACAACCCGGGGAAACUCGGGCUAAUACCGCAUACGCUCUACGGAGGAAAGCCGGGGACCGCAAGGCCUGGCGCUAAUAGAUGAGCCCAAGUCGGAUUAGCUAGUUGGUAGGGUAAUGGCCUACCAAGGCGACGAUCCGUAACUGGUCUGAGAGGACGACCAGUCACACCGGAACUGAGACACGGUCCGGACUCCUACGGGAGGCAGCAGUGGGGAAUAUUGGACAAUGGGCGAAAGCCUGAUCCAGCGACGCCGCGUGGGUGAAGAAGGCCUGCGGGUUGUAAAGCCCUUUCAGUGGGGAAGAAAAGCCUCGACCUAACACGUCGGGUCUUGACGUAACCCAUAGAAGAAGCACCGGCUAACUCUGUGCCAGCCGCCGCUAUAAAACCUAAGAC